GUUACAUGAAACAUGAAAAUGAAUACUAAAUAAUAUAAAUUAAUUGAAGUUAUUCUGAAAAUUUCGGUAAUGCCUCGUAUCCUAUCCCGGUCUCAGGUACGGGUAUGGGGUAUUACAUUUAAUGGUAUCAGAGCUAAGGUUUAGCCGGUUCUCGGAUCGGACGUAGCAUAUGUGAAGUCUAGAAAUACAUGCCAUUAUAUAACUUGUGAUAAAAUAAUGUAAUAUCUUCCAACUCUACUGAGAUUUAUUUUACUUAAAGAUAGAGAUACUUUCCCAACCGAGCUAAUUACGAUAAUGAUAAAAGCGAUACUCAAAUAUAUGAGCAAAAGUAGAUUAUGAUGAGUCGGAACUCAUAAAGGUAUGAAUAAAUGUUAUAUUUAAAUUUAUGUGUAUAGUAAGUAAAAUUUUAAGGUAAGUAUUAAUAUUGAAUUGAAUUUGUAUGGAUAUAUGUGAUUGAUGUGGAAAUAGAAUUUUGGAUAUAUGUUAUAUUUGAAAAUUUUAUUGAUUGGGAAUGUGAUGAAAUUGAUAUGAAUAUGUGAUUAAUUGAAAUGUGUAUUGAUUGGAAACUGGAAAGUGAAUUGAAUACCCUAUUAACUGUACUGGACUGAGUCGGAUAUAGUUGGCAUGCCAUAGGAUUUUGAGAAGGGAUUUGGAGAUGAGAUUUGGAUAUGCUGAUGUUUAUAUCCUUCGGAUUUAUCCGAAGAGGCACUUUGUGCUAUUCUGGUGUGUUUUGGAUGGAUUAUAUUAUUCUGGUGUGUUUGGGAGGAUUAUAUGAUAUUGAUGUGUUUUGGAGGAUUAUACUGGUGUGUUUUGGUUGGACAUUUUGGUGUGUUUGGAUGGAAUCCGUGUAUCCGCCAAAGUCCGAGUCUUGUUAAUAGGGGUAAAUAUGAAUAUUAAGUGAAAUUGAAAUGAGAAUUGAAUUCCCUAUUAACUUGUCGGACUAGUCGGAUAUAAUUGGCAUGCCAUAGGAACUGGAAGUGUACGGGAUUUGUCGACUAUACUGAUCAGGCACUUUAUAUGUCGUAUUUCAGGCACCUUGUGUGUCGUAUCAGGCACCUCAUGUGUCGUUUCAGGCACUUAUGUGUCAUAUACUGAUCAGGUACUACGUACCGUUUUAGGCACAAUGUGCCGUACUGGUGUGUUUGGUUGGAUCCGUGUAUCCGUCUGAGUCCGAGUUAUGUUAAUAGGGUUGAGUAAAUGAAAUGAGAAAAUCGAAUGAAUUUGAUCGAAUAAAUUAUUGAAAGUGUGAAAAAGUGGAAUUAUGAAAAGAAAUGUGAAUUGUGAAUUGAAAUAGAGAUAUGAGAUUGAAAGCUUGAACCAAAGGUUCAUGAAUUGAUUAAAGAUAAUAUAGAUGAUAUAUGAUGCCAUUUGAUGAAAGACUAUUGCCGAGAUAUGAAAUUAAAGCAUAAUUAACACAUAUGACUUAUAUUGUUACAUGUUUGAUGUCUAUUAUUUAUUAUAGUAUUUAUAAUUUGAAUUAUGGUAAUACCACUGAGUACAAACAUGCUCAACAUACGAUUAUAUUAUUAUAAUUCAAAUUAUUUAUUAUUAUUAAGUGUUAAAUCCCUAUUACUCCAUAUGGGAUUCAAUUCUAUUAUGUUUGGAAAAAGAAGUCGACGGUGAAACUUACAUGAGACUAUUCUUCUGUCUCUUCCGGUUUUUUCUGAGAAAUCAUUUGGAUAUUUAUUAUUAUUUUCGUAUGAGUUAUGUUCUCGGAUUUCUGGUAUGGUAUCGUAUUUUGGAGUUCUUUAUCUCGGUUUUCCUACCACUCUUAUUUCGUAAAUUAUCGAUCAUGAUUUAUCCUUAAAGUAUGUUCUUUGGUUUAUGAUGACUAUGUCUAUUAUGAUAAGACUAUCCGUGUCUGUUUGGCAUGUCUACGAUGUUAUGUGCCCAACAUGUUUAAUUAAGUAAAUUUUAUUCAAAACUGAAUAAGUGUGUGUUUAUGUACACUUGGUUGAAUAAGUAUGAUUAGUAAGUUCAUAUGGCUAAAUUUAAUGUUGUGAUAUGAAAAUUUCAUGAAUGAUAUAGUAUAUUAUUGCAUAUGAAUGUCAUUAAACUGUGAUAGUUGUAAAAUGAUAUUUGAAUAAAAGUACAAAUUAAGUGGAACAACGGAUUUGAGUACUUUCGUUCAGUGGCUAAGACGAAUUGAUAGAAAAGACCACGGUUGGACCAUGGCAUCAAUGUGAUAUGUGAUCUGUGUAAGACCAUAGCUGGGCUAUGGCAUCAGAGAUAUGUGAUUACAUGCUUCCGUAUAAGACCAUAUCUGGGAUAUGGCAUCAGUGUGAUAUGUGAUUCGUGUAAGACCAUGGCUGGGCUAUGGCUACGGUGUGUGAUAUGUGACUAUGUGCAAGACCAUAGUUUUACUAUGGCAUGAUGAAAACAAAGUACUCAAUUCCGAAAUGGUUCCUUAAAUUGAUUAAGAAAGGUAAGUGAUAAAUGGACUUAAAAGAUUGAAAUUGAUUAAAUGUUGAUAUUGAGCUAAACUAAGUGAAUUCAUUGUUUGAAAUUGUAGAUGGCAGAAAAUAUUGAUAGACUGUAUAAGUGUAUAAAUUUUCUUGAAGUGAAUUAUGUGAAAACGAUGAUGUUAUGUAUGAAUGUCAAGUCAUAUGUGUGUAGUUAUGAGAGUUAAGUUAGAGGCUUUACGACCUCACCCCCUUACCAGAGUUGUAAUUAUGAGGGAAUAAGUGAGAUUUUAAUGAUAUGCUCUGACACUGUAUGCUACAGUCUAAAGGUUAUUGGGAAGAGAUGUUUGAGAUUAAUUCGGUUGUGAUUCUAAGAAAUUUUGUGGAAGUUUUUCAUUAGAGUUGAAAGUAACUUUUUCUGGUAAGAUUUUCGGGGACGAAAAUCCCUAAAGGGGGGGGAGAGUUGUAACAGCCAAAUUUUUCAAUAGUGUCGGAAACAGUGAUUCGAGAUCACUAAAUCCAACGAGUAAGUUUAGAAAUUUUAACAAAUAAUAAUUAUAGGCCAAGCGCGAACUUAAAAGAAUUAUUUUUAAUUAGUGAAUUUUGCGAUUUUAAAAGAAUUAAUCAAGUAAAUUUGGUUAAAAACGAGGUAUUGAGACCUCGGAUUUAUAAACCGAACCAUAAAUAUUUUUAUAAAUAUUUAUGGAGUGUUAUUAAGUUAGUAUUAAAGUUUCGUUAGAAAAUUUUAAUGUUUGAUUAGUCAAUUAAUUAAAAAUGACUAAAUUGAAAAUAGUACGAAAUUUAUUAAAUUGUGAUUAAAUAGUUUAAGUGAUUAAAAAGGAGGGAUUUAAAAGGCAAUUGGACCCAAAUUGUAUGGGCUGGACGGUUGGGCAAGAAAAUCAGCAAAAAAGACAAGGAGAAACAAGGGCAAAAUGGGAAAUUUUGUAAAUUAAACAUAUAAAACAAGACAAAUUUGAAAAAUCUAGAGAUAUCAUCAUUUUUCUUCAGCAAAAACGCCAUGGGAGGUCUGAAAGCUGCUAGUUUUUCAUACUUUGACAUAUGUGAGUUCAAUUCUUACCCUCUUCUUUGAGAUUUUUAUGUUUUUGUGACUUUUACAAUUAGGUCCAAGUGUUUAAUUCAUUAGCUUUUGAUUUUAUGAACAAAAUUAAAAGCUAUCAUUGAUAAGUUUUAGCUGUCUAUGAUGAAAUAAAAUGAAUUUGAAGCUUUGAUUUUGUUGUUUGAUGAUUUUAUCAAGUAAUUUCAAUAGAAAUUGAUUUUAGGACCUAAUUGUGAAAAAGUUGUGAAUUAAGGUUUAGUGUUAAAAUUCUGAUUUUUAAAGAUUGUGUAAUAGUUUAAAAUGAUGGAAUAAAAUGUUAAUUGAGAAAAAUUAGCUUAAUAGAUGGGCUAAUUGAGCAAGGACUGAAUUGUAUGACCUUUGAAAUUUAGAGGAAAAAUGGUAAUAAACAUCUUGAACUAAAACAAUAUUGGACAGUAGAAGUAGACUAACUUUGAAAAAUCACCAUAAAUUGUAGAAAUCGAAUUAGAAGAUGAAUAAAAUAUGAAAUUAAAGCUUAUCGAGUCUAGUUUUUCAUAGAAGAAACGGUGUAAGCAAUGGAUUUGUAAAUUAUGAGAUAUAAUGAAUUUUGUGAGAUAAUGUUAGAAUGAAUUCGGGUUUCCCUUUUUUGACUUUGGAAAAUCACCAAAAAUUGGAGAAAAUUAAUUAGAGUCUCAAAUUUAUAUGCUUAGAAUUCUUAAUGAGUCUAUUUUCAAUAGAAAUCAAUGGGAACAUUAUCCAAGUUUUGUACUGUGAUAUAAUUAAUUUUUAGUGAAGAGAGGUCAGAACUGUUGGAUAGUGAAAUAGGGGAAACUUAAAUGAAUAAACUGUACUAAUUGGCUAAACCAAAAAUUCUUAAAGUUUUAUGGUGGAAUGAUAUGUGAGUCUAGUUUUAGGGAAAAUUUACGGAUCUUAAUUUUGAGCUCUGUAGCUCGAAUUAUAAAUAAUUGAGUGACUAUGACUCGUGUGAACAGAUUGAUGUGAGCAUUAAUAAGUAAAUUGUGAAAUCAUACUUAAAAGAAUGUUAUAUACAUUAAGGAUGUGGAAUGGAGAGGAGGAGGAGGAAAAAUAUAUAUGAAUAUUCAGUUAGCAUAGCUAAUUUGCAUGUUUUAAGCUCAUGGACUAAAUUGAAUAAAAGUAAAACUUUAAGGGACAAUUUUGUAAAAAUGUCAAAAAUGACUAAAUUGAAGGGAAUAAAUUGUUUUAUUAUCUAAAUUAAUAAAUUGAAUGAAAUUAUCAAUUUAAGAUUGGGUGAAAUUUGGGAAAAUGGUAAAUUACCAAUAUGCCCCUAAAUCUUGGUAUUUCUGCAAUUUAGUCAGGUAGGUUCGGAUACCCUGAAUGAGCAUGUAAAUAUGAAAAUUUAAGUAUUGUAUCGUAUUUUAUAUGAUAUUUUGAAUUGAAUAUAUGAGAAGGAUGUUACAUGAAACAUGAAAAUGAAUACUAAAUAAUAUAAAUUAAUUGAAAUUAUUUUGAAAAUUUCGGUAAUGCCUCGUAUCCUAUCCCGGUCUCAGGUACGGGUAUGGGGUAUUACAAAUCACUUUCUUCAUGUCUUUACAUGAUUGAGGGAUUUUUGCAAAUGGGAACAUUUCUCUCAAGAGCUUUAACAGCAUUGUCAAAGAGUUUCCGGUCCACCCUCCCAAACAUUUUAAUUGGAAAAGGCGAAUACAGAAUGACAUUUUCGAAAAUUUUGAUCCCUCAUAAAGUUCUUCAUUCAUUUCACCAAGUAACAUGUAGAACUUCACCGCUUCUUCAUUCGGUUGUUCAUCCGGUACACUUCUUCUCGUUUCCAUAAAAGUAUUCCCACCGAUAUUAUAAUCAUCGGAUGCAACAUAGUUUGGUGGAAAUGAUUGGAAACCUUUACUCCGCAUAUUAAAUGCAUCUCGCAUCAUACCUUCCAUGUCAUCUUCUCUAACAUACUGACGGUAACCACUAUAAGGAUAACCUGGAUUAAUCGUCGAAGAGGCUCCACUAGGUGUACACUCUCCAUGGAAAAUCCAUUUUUUAUACCCUCGAAUGAAGCCAUCAACAAUUAGAUGUUCGUAGAAACUUCACGAUAAUGCCAAUAGAUAUUGCCACACUUCUUACACGGGCAAAGAAUCAUAUUCUCUUGGCUUGAAUUGUGAAAUGCAAAAUCUAAAAAAGAUUGCACUCCAUUUUGAUACUCGUUGCUUGCCCUUGAGAAAUUCAUCCAAGUCCUAUCCAUUUCGUAGUUGUUGAAUUCUA
Molecule: long non-coding RNA, 5679 nt
Filed under: Gossypium barbadense (sea-island cotton)
Lineage: Eukaryota; Viridiplantae; Streptophyta; Magnoliopsida; Malvales; Malvaceae
Description: long non-coding RNA (GBAR_LNC008396)
Source: RNAcentral